Triticum aestivum (bread wheat) is the source of this 135-nucleotide non-coding RNA. Lineage: Eukaryota; Viridiplantae; Streptophyta; Magnoliopsida; Poales; Poaceae. The record is from Rfam.
UUCAUAUUCCCUCCACCUGGAAAUACUUGUCAUCAAAACGGUUAGAAAGGGAUGGAUCCAGAUGUAUUUUUGUUUUAGAUACAUCACUUUUUAUUCAUUUUGAUGACAAAUAUUUUCGGACGGAGGGAGUAUAUG